Molecule: ribosomal RNA, 393 nt
Filed under: uncultured bacterium
Lineage: Bacteria
Description: partial 16S ribosomal RNA
Rfam family: Bacterial small subunit ribosomal RNA
Source: RNAcentral
AUACGGAGGAUCCGAGCGUUAUCCGGAUUUAUUGGGUGUAAAGGGUGCGCAGGCGGGAGAUUAAGUCGGCGGUGAAAUUUUCCAGCUCAACCAGGAAAGGGCCUUGGAAACUGGGUUACUUGAGUGUAGAUGAAGUAAGCGGAAUUUGUGGUGUAGCGGUGAAAUGCAUAGAUAUCAGGAGGAACACCGAUUGCGCAGGCAGCUUACUAAACUACUACUGACGCUCAGGCACGAAGGCGUGGGGAUCAAACAGGAUUAGAUACCCUGGUAGUCCACGCAGUAAACGAUGAUUACUAGCUGUUUGCGAUACAAUGUAAGCGGCUGAGCGAAAGCGUUAAGUAAUCCACCUGGGGAGUACGUUCGCAAGAAUGAAACUCAAAUGAAUUGACGGGG